RNAcentral lists this transfer RNA (74 nucleotides) under Ailuropoda melanoleuca (giant panda). It matches the Rfam family "tRNA". From Rfam's summary of the family: Transfer RNA (tRNA) molecules are approximately 80 nucleotides in length. Their secondary structure includes four short double-helical elements and three loops (D, anti-codon, and T loops). Further hydrogen bonds mediate the characteristic L-shaped molecular structure. tRNAs have two regions of fundamental functional importance: the anti-codon, which is responsible for specific mRNA codon recognition, and the 3' end, to which the tRNAs corresponding amino acid is attached (by aminoacyl-tRNA synthetases). tRNAs cope with the degeneracy of the genetic code in two manners: having more than one tRNA (with a specific anti-codon) for a particular amino acid; and 'wobble' base-pairing, i.e. permitting non-standard base-pairing at the 3rd anti-codon position. Lineage: Eukaryota; Metazoa; Chordata; Mammalia; Carnivora; Ursidae. The record is from Rfam by way of RNAcentral.
ACCUGGCUGGCUCAGUUGGUAAGAGCAUGUGACUCUUAAUCUCAGGGUCAUGAGUUCAAGUCCCACCUUGGAUG